GUGGGAAUAUACUGUGACUGUGUGUCCUAUUUGUCUGCUUGUCUGUCCCUUGUCACAGUCUCCCAUUUGGUCCCCUAGGGAGGUCCACCAGGUGGGAGACCUGCAUAAAUACUGGGCAGGUAGCCCUCAUUAAACAGACCACUGCUUGACCCUUAACACGGAGCCUUGUCUCGUCUUUGGGGGGAUUUACUGAAUGCUGAUAGAGACUGAUUGCUAGGAGUGUAAGCCGCUUGGAUGCUUUUCCUAUUCGUCUGCUAGCAGCGAUUCGUAUGGUUCCUGUUCAUCUGUUUGGAGUGCUAUAUUGGAUG
Molecule: non-coding RNA, 308 nt
Organism: Pelobates cultripes (western spadefoot toad)
Lineage: Eukaryota; Metazoa; Chordata; Amphibia; Anura; Pelobatidae
Source: the annotation of a GenBank genome assembly